GGCCUUAAGGUGCAAAUAAAUAAGGUUUUUCAAAUAUAAUUUAGCGCGAAGGUGAGCGGGGUGUUACAUUCCCCACACCUUAAAAAAAUUUGGUCUCUAAAUUUGUCUCAAGCAAGUCUGGAAACUUUUCCCUCAUCUAACUUUCCAACUCCUACGUCGCCUCUUUCGGAGUCUGGUGCUGCCAAUGCACCUUCACUAUGAGAAUCGUCUUGUUGCGUAAGACUGUCGGUCCAACCAAGAAUCUCUAU
RNAcentral lists this long non-coding RNA (248 nucleotides) under Carica papaya (papaya). RNAcentral describes it as "long non-coding RNA (CPAP_LNC005682)". The record is from RNAcentral. Lineage: Eukaryota; Viridiplantae; Streptophyta; Magnoliopsida; Brassicales; Caricaceae.